Molecule: ribosomal RNA, 258 nt
Filed under: uncultured bacterium
Lineage: Bacteria
Description: partial 16S ribosomal RNA
Source: RNAcentral
CUGCUGCCUUCCGUAGGAGUUUGGGCCGUGUCUCAGUCCCAAUGUGGCCGUCCACCCUCUCAGGCCGGCUACUGAUCGCUGCCUUGGUGGGCCGUUACCCCGCCAACUAGCUAAUCAGACGCGGAUCCAUCGUAUACCACCGGAGUUUUUCGCACUGCCCCAUGCGGAGCCGUGCGCUUAUGCGGUAUUAGCACCUAUUUCUAAGUGUUAUCCCCCGGUAUACGGCAGGUUAUCCACGCGUUACUCACCCGUCCGCCA